CAACCUGCCUCCACCGACACCUC
Molecule: microRNA, 23 nt
Filed under: Cordylochernes scorpioides
Lineage: Eukaryota; Metazoa; Arthropoda; Arachnida; Pseudoscorpiones; Chernetidae
Source: RNAcentral